This is an RNA transcript of Alnus glutinosa, 2529 nucleotides long. RefSeq lists it as uncharacterized. The transcript has 13 exons. NCBI's taxonomy places the organism in Eukaryota, Viridiplantae, Streptophyta, Magnoliopsida, Fagales, Betulaceae. The record is from RefSeq and is a predicted model, not a curated record.
AACAGAAAACAGAAACACUGAAAAGACUUUUCAGCAAUGGCCGUUGCUUCCUCGACCUCUGCAACCAAAGUCCCCGCUAAGAAGGAGAAGGAGAGCAUGGACACGAAGAAGGGGAGCCAGGUCGUCGACGGCGAGGGUGGUAAUGGGAACAAAGCGAAGCGCGCAAAGUGCCCCGGAGUUCGCGUCGUCGGGAACCGAAUCUACGAUUCUGAGAAUGGGAAGACCUGUCACCAGUGUCGUCAAAAAACAAUGGAUUUUACGGCAUCAUGUAAGAACCUGAAAGUAAACAAGCCUUGUACCAUAAGGUUCUGUCACAAAUGCCUAUUGAACAGAUAUGGAGAGAAAGCAGAGGAGAUGGAGAUGUUGGAUGACUGGAAAUGUCCCAAGUGUAGAGGCAUUUGCAAUUGCAGUUUCUGCAUGAAGAAAAAAGGUCAGAAACCCACUGGCAUACUAGUGCUAACAGCCAAGAAUGCUGGGUAUUCAUCUGUUUUGGAAAUGCUGAAAGUCAAAGGUCCUGAUAAUUUGGGUGAAGAAGAGGUUGUUGAAAUUGCAGGUGUCUCGCCGAAAAAGGCGGUUGCUUCAAACAAGGGACCUGAAGUGGUUUCACCGAGGAAAAUGGGAAAGGAAAAUUCUUUUGAUGGAAAGGCUGAUGCUGACUUGAAUUCUCAGAUGUCGGCAACAGGCUGUAGUGAGAAGAAGUCAAAGAAAACAAAGCGGGGAGGAUUGAAGGAAAUGUGUAAUGGCAGCAGGGAUGAAGGUGCUGACCCAAAUAGAAGUAGCCUGAUAAAACCUAUAAGGUCUGAGGAGAUCUCUAAAAAAGAAGUUCAAAUAAAUGGAAAAGAUAGCAGUGUCCUCUCCAAGAAGGAUGCUAAAACUCAGCAAGAUGCAGGAAUGUCGAAUGCUUUGAAGAAUGAGAAUGCCCGGGCCAAGCCUAAGAAAGUCCGAAUGCCAUGGUGUACCAUGAAUAUUGAGAACACAGAAUUUGACGCUGACAUUCCUAUGCCUCAGGGUGCCAACUUGGCGAGCAUAGCCGACAUUGAGUUACAUCCUGAAGAUGUUGGACAUGCAUUACAAUUUUUAGAAUUUUGUGCCUCUUUUGGAAAGGUGCUUGAUGUUAAAAAAGGACAAGCUGAAUCUUUACUUCAAGAAUUAAGAUAUGGGAGACGUGGGCGGCGAGCUCAAUAUUCAAUGACAGUUCAAUUUCAUAUCCAACUUUUGUCUUUAAUACAAAAGGAUGCGGGGAAAGAGUUUCUUUCAUCAAGUCCGACAAAUGAAAGAAAGUCAUGGUGGCCAGCUCUGGGGAAAUGCAUCUCCGAAUCCCAAUGUGCGUUGAAAGAACUGCACUUGGAUUGCUUUGAUAGAGGUGCUGAUGAAUAUGACAACUUAAACUUCUCAAUGAAACUUAGAAUCAUAAAUUUUCUUUGUGAUGAGGCUCUAGGCACAAUAAAAUUGAGGAGUUGGAUUGAUGACCAAAAUUCAAAAGUUGUAGAACAAGAGAAGAAAGCAAAAGAAAAGCUUAUCGCUGCAAAGGAGAAGGAGAAACGUGUAAAGCAGAAGUUGCGGGAUGAGGUGGCCAAAGCUAUUAUUGCAAAAAAUGGUGUUCCUCUUUCUAUUUCAGAGCAUGAAGCUAUUAUUUCAAGAAUAAAAAGUGAUGCUGCUCAAGCUCAUGCUGAGAUGCUUGAUGCUAAGGGCAUGGUAUCUAAGAAGAGGCCAAGAUUUGAUGCUAUUAGAACAGAGGCUAUGUUUUUGGAUGUUGAUGGUCGUGCAUUUUGGAAAUUGAAAGGCUAUACUGGUGAAAAGGAUAUUCUACUUCAAGAUAUGGGAACCUGGGAUGCAGUGGCGUCUGAUGAGAAAUGGUUUGUCUAUGGUGCUGAACAGAAACAAGCGAUUGAGCAGUACUUUUAUUCUGUAAGGGGAAAAAGGCCAAGGAUUCAAAAUGUUGGUCACGCUGUUCCAAGUGGAAAUAAUGGAGCAAAGAUAUAGCUGGUGCUUGGAUAGUUUGCCACCUAUAAAUAUUAGAACUUGGGGUAAUUUUACAAGAACCUCUUUAUUUUUGUGAUUGUUUAUUUCAGGUACUUGGUUGCAAAUGGAAGUGAGUUUCUUAAGGUAAAUGCAAUAUCAAAACCUAAAGGGUUUGUGAAAUUGUGCUAUAAAGGUUCAGUAUAAUGUUGAAGUGAACUGGAUUCAGGCAGCUAAGAAGAGAGAUUUAGUUUCUGCUGUACUUUGGAUCAUUCUCUUGCUUCCAUUUUUUUGGAGAUAUAAAUGUGUAUAUCUAAAGGGAAGUGCGAAUAGACCAUAUGAACCAAUGGUGGUUUUCUAUCAUGUUUUGUAUCCGGGAAUGUUGUAUCAGCAUGUAUGCCUCCCAGUGAAAGUUAUGCCCACUUUCGUAUUUGUACAUCGUCUCUUCUCUUUUUCCUUUUUCCCAAACAGAAAUUUGUUGACUAUGGGGGGUUUUAGGCUCCCAACUGUACUUGUAAAUAUGAGCACAAUGUGGCAUUAUGAGACUGAUCUGAUAUAUUCUUUCAACCA